RNAcentral lists this ribosomal RNA (415 nucleotides) under uncultured bacterium. RNAcentral's name for it is "bacterial SSU rRNA". It matches the Rfam family "Bacterial small subunit ribosomal RNA", at positions 10 to 456 of the family's 1533-position model. The record is from RNAcentral.
AGUUUAUCCUGGCUCAAACGAACGCUGGCGGCAUCCUAACACAUGCAAGUCGAACGAAGGCUUCGGCCUUAGUGGCGCACGGGUGCGUAACGGGUGGGAAUCUGCCCUCAGGUACGGAAUAACUCAGGGAAACUUGAGCUAAUACCGUAUAAUGACUUCGGUCCAAAGAUUUAUCGCCUGAGGAUGAGCCCGCGUCGGAUUAGCUAGUUGGUGGGGUAAAGGCCUACCAAGGCGACGAUCCGUAGCUGGUCUGAGAGGAUGAUCAGCCACACUGGGACUGAGACACGGCCCAGACUCCUACGGGAGGCAGCAGUGGGGAAUAUUGGACAAUGGGCGAAAGCCUGAUCCAGCAAUGCCGCGUGAGUGAUGAAGGCCUUAGGGUUGUAAAGCUCUUUUACCCGGGAUGAUAAUGACA